AACGCACAUUGCGCCCGCCAGUAUUCUGGCGGGCAUGCCUGUCCGAGCGUCAUUUCAACCCUCGAACCCCUCCGGGGGGUCGGCGUUGGGGAUCGGCCCUUUACGGGGCCGGCCCCGAAAUACAGUGGCGGUCUCGCCGCAGCCUCUCCUGCGCAGUAGUUUGCACACUCGCAUCGGGAGCGCGGCGCGUCCACAGCCGUUAAACACCCCAAACUUCUGAAAUGUUGACCUCGGAUCAGGUAGGAAUACCCGCUGAACUUAA
Molecule: unclassified non-coding RNA, 262 nt
Filed under: uncultured fungus
Lineage: Eukaryota; Fungi
Also listed under: 2 other names
Description: partial contains 5.8S ribosomal RNA, internal transcribed spacer 2, and large subunit ribosomal RNA
Rfam family: 5.8S ribosomal RNA (bases 1-52)
Source: RNAcentral